Molecule: ribosomal RNA, 253 nt
Filed under: uncultured bacterium
Lineage: Bacteria
Description: partial 16S ribosomal RNA
Rfam family: Bacterial small subunit ribosomal RNA
Source: RNAcentral
UACGGAGGGUGCAAGCGUUGUCCGGAUUUAUUGGGUUUAAAGGGUGCGUAGGCGGUCUUUUAAGUCAGUGGUGAAGUCCUCCAGCUCAACUGGAGAACUGCCAUUGAUACUGGAAGACUUGAGUAUAGUUGAGGUAGGCGGAAUUGACAGUGUAGCGGUGAAAUGCAUAGAUAUUGUCAAGAACCCCGAUUGCGAAGGCAGCUUACUAAACUAUAACUGACGCUGAGGCACGAAAGUGCGGGGAUCAAACAGG